GCUGGGGGUUAGCUCAGUUGGUUGAGCAUGAGGCUCUUAAUCUCAGGGUUGUGGGUUUGAGCCCCAUAUUAAGUG
Non-coding RNA from Podarcis lilfordi (Lilford's wall lizard), 75 nucleotides. The record is from the annotation of a GenBank genome assembly. NCBI's taxonomy places the organism in Eukaryota, Metazoa, Chordata, Lepidosauria, Squamata, Lacertidae.